GAUGAACGCUAGCGGCAGGCCUAACACAUGCAAGUCGAGGGAGGAGCUUUCGGGCUUCGACCGGCGUACGGGUGCGUAACGCGUAUACAAUCUGCCUUUCACAUAGGGAUAGCCCGAAGAAAUUUGGAUUAAUACCUAAUGGUAUAUAGGAGUGGCAUCACAUUUAUAUUAAAGCUGAGGCGGUGAAAGAUGAGUAUGCGUUCUAUUAGCUAGUUGGAGAGGUAACGGCUCCCCAAGGCGACGAUAGAUAGGGGUUCUGAGAGGGAUAUCCCCCACACUGGUACUGAGAUACGGACCAGACUCCUACGGGAGGCAGCAGUGAGGAAUAUUGGACAAUGGUCGGAAGACUGAUCCAGCCAUGCCGCGUGCAGGAAGACGGCCUUAUGGGUUGUAAACUGCUUUUGCAGGGGAAGGAUAAGGACUACGAGUAGUUUGAUGACGGUACUCUGCGAAUAAGCAUCGGCUAACUCCGUG
This 474-nucleotide ribosomal RNA is filed under the name uncultured bacterium. RNAcentral describes it as "partial 16S ribosomal RNA". It matches the Rfam family "Bacterial small subunit ribosomal RNA", at positions 28 to 507 of the family's 1533-position model. The record is from RNAcentral.